RNAcentral lists this ribosomal RNA (718 nucleotides) under Staphylococcus aureus. RNAcentral's name for it is "partial 23S ribosomal RNA". It matches the Rfam family "Bacterial large subunit ribosomal RNA", at positions 444 to 1164 of the family's 2925-position model. The record is from RNAcentral. Lineage: Bacteria; Bacillati; Bacillota; Bacilli; Caryophanales; Staphylococcaceae.
CUGGGAGGACCAUCUCCUAAGGCUAAAUACUCUCUAGUGACCGAUAGUGAACCAGUACCGUGAGGGAAAGGUGAAAAGCACCCCGGAAGGGGAGUGAAAUAGAACCUGAAACCGUGUGCUUACAAGUAGUCAGAGCCCGUUAAUGGGUGAUGGCGUGCCUUUUGUAGAAUGAACCGGCGAGUUACGAUUUGAUGCAAGGUUAAGCAGUAAAUGUGGAGCCGUAGCGAAAGCGAGUCUGAAUAGGGCGUUUAGUAUUUGGUCGUAGACCCGAAACCAGGUGAUCUACCCUUGGUCAGGUUGAAGUUCAGGUAACACUGAAUGGAGGACCGAACCGACUUACGUUGAAAAGUGAGCGGAUGAACUGAGGGUAGCGGAGAAAUUCCAAUCGAACCUGGAGAUAGCUGGUUCUCUCCGAAAUAGCUUUAGGGCUAGCCUCAAGUGAUGAUUAUUGGAGGUAGAGCACUGUUUGGACGAGGGGCCCCUCUCGGGUUACCGAAUUCAGACAAACUCCGAAUGCCAAUUAAUUUAACUUGGGAGUCAGAACAUGGGUGAUAAGGUCCGUGUUCGAAAGGGAAACAGCCCAGACCACCAGCUAAGGUCCCAAAAUAUAUGUUAAGUGGAAAAGGAUGUGGCGUUGCCCAGACAACUAGGAUGUUGGCUUAGAAGCAGCCAUCAUUUAAAGAGUGCGUAAUAGCUCACUAGUCGAGUGACACUGCGC